RNAcentral lists this unclassified non-coding RNA (157 nucleotides) under uncultured fungus. RNAcentral's name for it is "sequence contains ITS1". The record is from RNAcentral. Lineage: Eukaryota; Fungi.
ACAAUGAGUGUUUUAUGGCACUCUUUAAAAAUCCAUAUCCACCUUGUGUGCAAUGUUUGUUGGGAGAGAGGCAACUCUUUCCCUUCACAAAUAUCAACCUAUAUCUUUAACAACAUUCGUCUGAUAACAUAUUAUGAAUAUACUUAAUUCAAAAUAU